Long non-coding RNA from Nicotiana tabacum (common tobacco), 458 nucleotides. RefSeq lists it as uncharacterized. The record is from RefSeq and is a predicted model, not a curated record. Lineage: Eukaryota; Viridiplantae; Streptophyta; Magnoliopsida; Solanales; Solanaceae.
AGGAGAAAAAUAUCCUAGAGCUUUCCCAAAUAAUACAAGGUGAGUUCCUGCUCAAUUCCAUUGAUUAUUACAUCAAACUAACAAUGAUUGACACCAAAUUAUCUUCCAAAUUCCUAAAUUGUAAACAAUUCCAACAAAAUGCAAUUCAGGUGGAAUUUUUGUAUUUUCUUCAAAGCAUCAGAUGCAUGUUGCGCUUUGGGGGUAACAAGCUUGGUAACGGAGCUCUAGGAUUAGAAGUGCCCUUGGAUUGUCUGUGGAGCUGUGUCUACCAAGGUACUCUUGAUGCAGACUGGCCAACUAUAUGGAUGAAUGACUACCAGGACAUUAUAGGUGUUUCUUACUCUUCUUGAUUCUAUAUUGUACUGUAGAGAUUGAACUUCUCUUUAAGAUCAUUUUGACAUAUGCAAAAAUAUUAUAGACUUGUGAUGCAGCUGCUAAACAAGUGAGCAUUGGUACUA